UACAGGGGGCGCGAGCGUUGCUCGGAAUCACUGGGCGUAAAGCGUACGCAGGCGGGUCGGUAAGUUCGUUGUGAAAUCCCGGGGCUCAACCCCGGAACUGCGAUGAAGACUGUCGAUCUUGAGUACGGGAGAGGGGAGCGGAAUUCCUGGUGUAGAGGUGAAAUUCGUAGAUAUCAGGAGGAACACCGGUGGCGAAAGCGGCUCCCUGGCCCGAUACUGACGCUCAUGUACGAAAGCGUGGGGAGCAAACAGG
RNAcentral lists this ribosomal RNA (253 nucleotides) under uncultured bacterium. RNAcentral's name for it is "partial 16S ribosomal RNA". It matches the Rfam family "Bacterial small subunit ribosomal RNA", at positions 524 to 776 of the family's 1533-position model. The record is from RNAcentral.